CAUAUGCUCCUCUCUCUCUCUCUCUCUCUCUCUCAUGUUUUUUAUGUCCACCUAUCUCAUACAACGCCUAGCUACUACAAUAUUUCACACACCUCCACCAUCAUUUCCACCUACGAUCUUAAUCAUUCAAGCACAUCAUUUUCAUUUGGAGUCUACAGUGAGGUGUUCUUUGCUAUGCAUAUACCCUUGGAUAUACAAGAUAGAAACUGUGAUGAGUAGGUGAAAAGAGAGAGUUAUCCAGAGGAGCGUGCGAAGAGAUACUUUGACGUGGUGGUGUUAGAUGAGUUUUUUUUUUUUUUUUUAUGAUCUCAAAACAUGUAAACACAAAUUAUUUUUACAAAUAUGUUUUAGGUGUACUGGUUGUUAGAGAAACAUGGACUAAGAUCUUCAUUGUUA
This is a long non-coding RNA of Medicago truncatula (barrel medic), 396 nucleotides long. RefSeq lists it as uncharacterized. Lineage: Eukaryota; Viridiplantae; Streptophyta; Magnoliopsida; Fabales; Fabaceae. The transcript is spliced from 2 exons. The record is from RefSeq and is a predicted model, not a curated record.